Molecule: ribosomal RNA, 235 nt
Filed under: uncultured bacterium
Lineage: Bacteria
Description: partial 16S ribosomal RNA
Source: RNAcentral
GACGAACGCUGGCGGCGUGCUUAACACAUGCAAGUCGAGCGGUAAGGCCCUUUCGGGGUACGACGAGCGGCGAACGGGUAGGAGUAACAACGUGGGUGGACCUCGCCCUCCAGCUCUGGGAGUAAGACCUCGGGAAACCGGGGUACCGUAAUAACUGGAGUAUGACUCCACUGACGCAUGUUGUUGGGGUGGGAAAGACCUUCGUGCGGCGUGAGGAGUGGGCCCGGCCGGCCUA